AUUGCACAGCAGUCAGGAACAACCAUAGUCGUGAUUUGUUUCUUCACCUCCGCUUUGUCCCAUUGCGCUGCCACUAUACUACUCGACUAGCCCCAAUGCUCCACGCAGAGCCUCCAUCCGGCGGUGCCGACCGCGGCUACUCCCUUAACUACCAGGACCACCCUCUUCCAUCAGCCUGCUGUCGCGAAGGAGAUGUCAUUGCUUUGAGGGGCUGCUGCUGUGAAGGGUUGCUGUCAUUGCGGUGAUGUAGAAGGUUUGUCGUGGUGACAAAGAGUUGUUGUAGCCCUCGAGUUAUUAAUUCUCUCUCUCUCUCUCUCUCUCUCUCUCUCUCACACACGCACACACACACACACGCACACAUUCAGUUUUGUAACUAUGAAAUUGGUUUAGCGAAAUAAAACUUCAGAAAUUGAUUUAACAA
Molecule: long non-coding RNA, 421 nt
Organism: Malania oleifera
Lineage: Eukaryota; Viridiplantae; Streptophyta; Magnoliopsida; Santalales; Ximeniaceae
Exons: 2
Source: RefSeq, a predicted model, not a curated record